GAUCUCUGAGAGACAGGAAGCAUGCAAGGCCUCCAGAGGCCUUGGCUGGGAACCAGAACACCUCUUUUGUGACUUCCUGUCGACCAAAGGGCCAGAGGGAGGUACCCUGCCCUUCUAGUGACAGGACGGGCUGCAGUACCAUCACUGAGGACAUGCACCCAGGGAGGGGACAAAACCGGGGCUUCUUUUGCCAACAGUCACCCACGGGGAAAGAAAACAAGGAUUUCAGAAGGUAGCAGAAGGGGACCUCUCUUUCUCGGUAGGCUCUCUUUUCCUUUCCCCUGUGCACGGGGCGCGAAUGGACCAUUUCCUCCGGCGGUACUCCGGGUGUUCUGAGUCGUUCCGACUUUGCUGUGCUUCUUUCCGUGUUUUCCACACGUGGAGGAGCCUUUGGUCAGCCCAGCACGGAUCCCCUGAGCCAAGGGACCCACCAGAGUGGGAUUCAGGUCCCGCUGGAGCAGAGAUUCACUCUCCCCUCUCAGGCACGGAGGCAGCAGAGGGUCAGGCUGGGUCUCUCAAGUGAAGGGAGAGCUGCACACCCCCGCCCGUUUCCUGGCCUUGAUCUUUCCAGAAAGCAGCCGGGAAAGGUAGGGGGGAGAUCUGAGUCACGGAAAUGCCUGUUCAGGCGGAACCUUCUGAAUUUCUUUAAGUUACAUAAACGGAACUCGGGCCGGCAGGUCCGACUGCUUUUUUUUUUUUUAGAAAAGGUGUCAACAGUUUCUUUGCCUUGGAAAUGCCUACGCUCCAGAGUCCUUAGUAAACAGUCAGGAGGGGAUGGUGGCAUAUUCGCACCGCGGCCCCCAGCCCUCCAGGGAAGGGGCGGAGGACGCUCUGCUGUUACUGAAAGCAGAGCCUCUCGCCGACAGCGCGUGGCCUCCCUCAGGUCCCAGCGGGAAAGGCGGCCCCGGCCCCGAAGGUAACUCCGCGGGGAGGGCGGAGCCCCCUGGGGGAGGCCUGCCCACCGCGCCAGCCCCGGGUCCCCGCGGGGAGACGUCGGCCUCAGGCCCGGAAGGUACCGUUCCCGCACGGCCCGGGGGAUUCUUGGACAACUGGGCCGGGAAGGGUGCGGCCUCAGAUGCAGAGCCGCUGUCAGCCAGAGCGAGCGGCGGACUGGAGCGCAGCGCGGGACCAGGGCUCGCCGGCCGCUGGGCGGACCGGCUGCGCUCUCCGCGGUCGGUUCCCGGAGGUGAUUCCUCUGCCGCAGGCGCGCUCAUCUGUCAGCGCCCGUGCAGCAGGGCCCGGGGCCUGGCACCGCUGGAGGAUUCCUGCCGAGAUUCCGCGCGUUCCGAGGCGCGUCCGCCUGCCGAGCAGCGCCGCAAGGACGGCCCCGCGUGGGGGCCCGCCCGGCGUCACUUCUGCGGCCGGCCGUCAGGUGGCAGUGGCCGCUCGGGAAGCAGGCGGCGCGAGGCGCUUCCUCUCCGCGCACCUGCGCGCAGGUGCGUCCCCGCCGCCCGCGCCGGCGCACCUGGGCGCCUCGGGACCGCGGGGGCCGCCCCCCGCAGGAUGUCUCCCCGUUCAGCAACCCUCGCUCCGGGUCUGGAUUUCUCCUCUUAAACAGGUCAAGCCCGUCUCGAGUUCACGGAGGAAACAGGUAUGAGCGCAUGGUGUUCCAUAGAGCAGAAAUGCCUAGUGUGGACUCCCUAAUGAACCGGAAGAGCAGAGGCGUGCUGUGCUCUCAAGGAAUGUCCUGGUCGGCUACCGAGAGCCCCGCCCUUCGCAAGAAGGCAUGUGCACAGGCAGCGACGUGAGGAAGGACGGACAGAAAGUGUGCUGCCGCUUGGCCUGUAUUGACUCAUUGAAACCUCACGAUAGCCUUCUGAUUCUCUGAGCUACUUGGCUUGUCCCCAUUACACAGACAAGGAAACUGAGGCCCAGAGAAGUCGUGAGUUGCUGGAGCCCACAUCUUACUAAGUGGCCAAGGGAGAUGCAGAAUGGAAGGCGGGAGGGGUGGGGCUGGGGAGGGGCGGAGACAGUGAGCGAGGGGCGAAAAGGCAGGAGAAGGAUGCCCGCCAGGGGCAGCGUGGGAUCCCGUCCACAGCCCCCAGCUGUAGGCGGCCCGCAUGGCAUCGCACCUCUCCCCAGAGGCCUGGGCAGGGAGAUGCCACGCCCUCUGGGAGCCGGGCCCAGGGCCCCUUGCAGACAGUUUUGGACCACACUCUGCCAUCAGCCCAGACUGUGACAUGUUCUCAGAGCCCUUGCACAAACCAUAAUUUGUAACGCUACACUUGUGUGGUUUUCUGAUUGUCUGGCACACCCCCUCCCCCAGAGCGGACGGGCGGGGAGCAGGCCAUGUGGUCACCACUGUGUCAUCAGUGCUGGGUGUGUGCUGGCACGUGGCUGACACUCACGGAAAGUAGGAGUGAAAGCAGAGAACAGAAGGUCCACCCUGGCGAGGGUGCAGGAUGGGGGCUCCGGGGGUGCGGUUUGCACUAUCACCUCUUGUCUCGGCCCCUCCUGUCUCAGGCUCUGGCUCUCUCCUUGAACACGUCUGUGUCCUUUAGCACACGGGAGCUGGAGGGAUGCUCGCGGGUUGUAGACAGCGCUCAGAGAACAAGAGUGAACGAGCUGAUGAUGGCUCUGAGGCCACAUCCUUAGCUGCUUUCCAGCCGUGAAAUAAUCGAAGUGCAGCCACCCCGUUUCCCUGGAAGGGCUGUCCCAGGAGCGUGAGUGGGAGGUGACAAAGCUGGCUGUGUCCUGGGGGGUCACUCAUCGCUCUUUCCCUUUUCCUCCCAGGGACUGGUAAUGGCCUCAUAAAACUGGAGCCUGCACGUUGGCCUCUGAUCUGGUUCCUAUUCAUUUGCAGGAAUGAUUUCACCUAAAAGAAUUCACUUUAUUCCUCACCUGUAGAGGUGUCGUCUGCUGGUUAAAGAUGCAGAAUAAUAGUUUUUGGCGAUAUGGCUGCUUUCUGCAAGUUCCAGUAUCUAAUUUGGAAGAACAGUAAUUGUCGAUUGUUAGAAUCCUGCUGGUUUUAUUUCUUUAUUUUCUUAUCUUGCAGCAUGAUUUGUGCUUCCUGCCUUUAAACUGUGAUGAGCGAGAAUCCUCUGAGAGGAGGGGUCUGUGUGCUCCUCCCUGCUUUUGCCAUUCUCCUUUUUUAACAGCUGUAAGAAUUAGCGUCGACAUAAAUUCAGCCAACAGGAAUGUGUACAUACUACUGCUUUGUGGAUCUGACAAAUGGUAGUAGUGGGCAGCAAACCUGUAGAAUAGAAAACCUAUGAAACAGGCCUCAAAGCACCAUUCUUUCGUCAAGUUGUAAUGAAGGAUAUCUACAGACUCGGGGAAGAAAACUCAACCAACCAGGGAGUGUGGGUGAAUUUCGUAGGUCUGGCAAACAAGCUGUUUAUAACACACAUGAGACUGAAAUUCUAAGUUGCAAAGCUAUCAAGGCUGGGCUUGGAGGAGGAUCUUGAGUUUUCUCCAUUUACAAAGCCUGUGAAUUUGGUACUGUACUGUAUUUAUCCCAGUCUCAGAGGAACAGGAGACACGGAGCCUGAAUCUUAUGAAAUCCAGAAAGGGGAGGACUUGGGAAUCCGACUAGUGGCAUUUGGGGCUUGUCCUGCAGGAGUGGGGCGGGGUUACAAGUUUCUGUCCGUCCGACUGAGAAGCUCUGGGCCAACCCCACCCAGCCCACAUGCAGGUCUCCGGGUGGCUGAGAAAGGUCAGCCCUGAACACUCUGCAGCACGCACAGGCGCCACCUGGGGCCAAUGUCCUUACUUGCCUCCCACGUUCACCUGUGCCCAUGCUGGGCUUUCCCGUUUUUCCCAAUCCUUCUGCAGAUGGGUCAACAGAUGUUAUUUUCUUGACUCCACCCUUGGACUUUGGAGGGAUUUCCACACGUCCUAGCUUUCUCCUCCUCUUUCUUCCCCUAGGGGGGACACCUCAACCUAACUUUGACUCCCAAGGACCCACCAACCAGUUCCCUUAUGGGCCCCAAGCCAACCUGUAAACCAGGGGUGAAAUGAGCUACCAUUUUGGAGCAGUGAGAAGGAGUGCCCGGGAGGGGAGAGAAAGGAGGGUGGAAGGCAAGCGUCUGUAGGUUCGAAGGGGCCACUAUUCUCACCAGACACGGCUGACGUGAGCCCCUCUGAUCGGGCUCCAUUUCACCACCAGUGCCGCUAACUGCUCAGAUCUGUUUGCAAAUCUGCGUGAUGAUUCGAGACUGGAUAUGAGUAAUGAGAAAGGCUUUCCAUCGUGUUCUCUAAAUACUAACACUACAAAAGAGUGAGGGAUCAAAUUUAUAGAGACAGCAGGACAGGAAUUUUGAAUAAGUAUAAUUGAUGGCUUCAGAGAGAUGCACAAGGAUAUUGCCUUUGUAAAAAAAAAAGAUAUUAAAAACUUGAUUGCUAAAUUAGGAAAAACAAAAGCUCAGUGGAUGGGCUGAAAAAUGGAAUAUUCACAUUCUAGGAAACGUAAGUGAGGGAUUAUCAUAAAAGUACAAAGAGAUAGAAAGCGUGAAACAAAAGUCAAGCGACACGAAGGACAGAGUAAGAAAUUGUAAAAGCCAUCAAGUAGCAGUUCUGGAAAGAAAGAAUAGACAGAUUGGAAGGGAAGAGAUUUUCCGAGAAGUGAUAGAGGAAAUUCCCCCCCAAACUGAAGAAAUGCAGGGAUGCUGAGACUGAUGGGCCCCUCAAGAGAUCAGCAUGACGGUAGAGCAGUAUCUUCAAAGUUCUGGGUGAAAAUCACUUGGAACCUAUAACUUUAUAUGAAGCCUAACUAUUCAGUAUUACAAGGCUAUCAUGCAUUGUGAAGGCAAAAUAAAGAUAUUUCCAGGCAUGAAAGAAGCCAACCAUUUAAGGCCCACAGACACUCUCUAAAAACAAACAAAUGCUGGAUGGUGAGCUCUAGCAAGAAUAAAAACGAUAGGGUACAAUGGUGAUCAAAUAAAACAAUAAAAGCUAUUUUUUUAAGAGUAAAUGAGUGUUGUCUGUUUAAAAUAAGACACUUUAAAUAACAACGUGAUACACCACCUGGAAAAGUGACAGCGUCCUCAAAUGCUAAACAGCCGUGCCCUGUCCUGGAUGUGUAUCCAAAAGGAAUGCAUAGAUACCUGUUCCAAAAGGCAGAUGCUAGAAUGUUCACGGCGGCGUUGUUCGCAACACCCACACAUUGGGACCAACACAGAUUUCACCAUCGUAGAAGAAACCACCUGUGACACACCUGUAGAAGGGACGAGGAAAGCACCACUGCCACGUGCUCUUGUGUGGAGGAGUCUCAGAGGCGUGAGGCGGAGCAGAAGAAGCCAUACACAAAGGAACAGACACUGUGAUUCAAACAUACAGGUUGAGAGACUUCACACACUGAGCGGCGGUGACGGAAGUGGUGCUGUGGUUUACCUGUGGCGGCAAUGAUGGGAGGCUCAACAAAGGCUUAUCGAGAACUGGCGAUGUUCUGUGCCCCUCUGGGUCCUGUUUGCAGGGAUGUGUUCACCUUGAAAAAUUCAUCAAGUUGUACGCUUAAGAUGUGGGCAUGUAAAGUAUGUCUUUAUACUUUAAUUUAAAAAAUGAUCAUGGAAUAAAAAUUCUAGGAAACUGGUAAAUGGAGCAGAGGGAAGUAGCACGUGUUGUCUGACUUGGGGUGAUUUAACUACAGAUAGUGUUUUAUAAUAUAACCUUAAUUAAGUAUUUUUAAAGGGUGAAAAAAAUUUUAAGAAAAUUUAGUCGGUAUAACAAAAUGUAAGAAAGGGGAGAAAGAAACAAAAAGUAUAACACACAAAAAUAAAAAAAAGAUGGAACAAACAAUUCUAAUAAUAUCAGUCAUCACAAUAGAUGUGGGUUAAAUUCAUUAAUUAAAAGAAAAAAACUCUGGCUGGAUAAAAGUACAAAUUAUGUGAAACAUAUCUAAAAGAAAUAAUCCAGGAAAAAUGAAAGGAAAGAAAAUGCUAAUAAAACAAAAAGAUGGUCAUAUUAAAUUCAGAUGAAACAGAAUUCAAGGUCAAAACAUUUAAUAAUAAAAGAAAGGGGGGUUUCCCUGGUGGUGCAGUGGUUGGGAGUCCGCCUGCCGAUGUAGGGGACACGGGUUCAUGCCCCGGUCCGGGAAGAUCCCACAUGCCGCGGAGCGGCUGGGCCCGUGAGCCAUGGCUGCUGAGCCUGCGCGUCCGGAGCCUGUGCUCCGCAACAGGAGAGGCCACAACAGUGAGAGGCUCGUGUACCGCAAAAAAAAAAGAAAGAAAAAAAGAAAGGGGUAUGUCAUGCUGAAGAAAGGGAACAAUCCACAGGGUAACUAAUGAUCAUUUUACUGCACUUAAAGCACAACUUGAAAAUACUUAGAGCAGAAACCUGUCAGAAUUACAAAUAGAAAGAAACUAGAUCCUCAAUGUCUUGGCGGGCAAUUUUGACAAAACUCAUAGAAAUGAAUAAGUAAAAAGAGGAUUUGAAUAAAAUAAGUAAUGAGCUGAAUCUAAUUACCAUUCUGCUCAACUGGCAGAGAUUAUAUAUUCUUUUAACCACAAAUGGAAUAUUCUGGAAAACUGACCUAUGCAAGGCCGUUAAGGAAAUCUUAAUAAACUUCAAAGAGCUGCUAUUACUUAGGUUGAUUGAAAUAGGAUAAAACUAGAAGUUAACAAAAACAUUUUAAUAGCUCUUGAAUUAAAGGGAAAAUUAAAGUAUAUAAUGUAUGAACUAUUUAAUGUCUGAACAAUCACAGAUGCACCAUAUUACAGAAUCUGCUUUUCUGCCACAGCAAUACUCAAAGGAAAAAGUAUGACUUACAUGCAUUUAUUAGAAAACAAAAAAAGAUUGAAAAUAAAUGAACUAAACUUUCAAAUAAAGAAACUAUUUAAAAACCAUUUAAACAAUCCAAAAAAUAGAAUGAUGGGAUUAAAGCUAAAGUAGAAAUUAAUAAAAUACAAACAAAAGCAAUGCAGCUGGUCCAUGAAAUAGAUGUUUCAACAGAUGAAGAGACAAAGGAGGAGAGCUCAGGAAAAUAAAGCUAUAUGCCGGUCUUCUUCAUAAACACGGGCGCAAAACACUCAGAUAAAAUGCCGUAUAGAACGGAAACCUGAGUGCCAUACAGACGAUGGGGUGCUGCCCAUAAGCUCACUCUGCCUAAGAAUCAUUCUAUCCUUACUGCAGCCUCAGCGUAUAUUCCCGGCUCUGCUUUCCUCUCUCCCUCCUCUCUCCCACCGCCCCCAUCUCUCUCUAUAAUUGUGUAUACAUCUAUCUAUUUUUCAUCUAUAUGUCCAGCUAUAUGUCUAUUUGUGAGUCUCUUGGCCUCUGUUCUCGAAUUUGUCUUUUUUCUUUAGUUUCACAUUUUUAGUUUCUUUGUGUCUAGAUGUUUGUGUGAAAGUGUCUUUUUUCCACUUUCGUUUUUAACCUUUUUUUGUUUCUCUCCCUUCAUUAAAAAAAAUCUCAAA
Molecule: long non-coding RNA, 7349 nt
Organism: Orcinus orca (killer whale)
Lineage: Eukaryota; Metazoa; Chordata; Mammalia; Artiodactyla; Delphinidae
Exons: 2
Source: RefSeq, a predicted model, not a curated record